AAUCCGGCUAAGAACCAUGAGGUUUCAGGUUCGAUCCCUGGCCUUGCUCAGAUCCGGCAUUGCCGUGAGCUGUGGUGUAAGUAGCAGAUGCGGCUCCAAUUCGAUCCCUAGCCUGGAAACCCCCAUAUGCUGCCGGUGUGGCCUUAAAAGGCCAAAAUAAAAUAAAAUAUUAAAAAACCCACAAAACAAAAUAGCGUCAAAAUGUUCGUACUUCCUGCCCUCCUCCACUGUAUCUGAGGGUUAGAAGCAGGGGCAGAGGAAGUGCCUCUGUGGUGUUUCUCAGUGUCCCUUUGGCCCCUCUGACUUUUCUCUACCAGACCACAGCAAUGGGUGAAGCGGGUGACUCAUUACCUCCAGCAUCGGAGCUGAGACAGUGAACUGGGGGGAGGAGUGAGGAGGCAAAGAAGAGCCAUGGACUCGCCUCUCCUCUGCCCACUCCCCAUCCUCCCCAUCCCGUCUAGUCAAAUCCAAAUUCCUAAAGAGAUGACCUUUUCCAGCCUUCACACAUUCAUCGGUUUAUCCCUUUGCUGCAACAGCCUCCCAGCCUCGGCCCUGGGCCGAUCCCCCUGCAGCCCUGCCCCAGCUGCAGUGCUUUUCUGUGGCUCUGUUGCUUACCUCCUAGAAGACCAAGUCAAGACCUGUGGGUUUAGCACAGAGGCCCUUCCCACACCACUGGCAGGUCCUGCCUACCCCUGCGGCCUCAGCUCUCCCCACUGCUCACCCCACAUGCCUCCAGGGCUCCUUUUUUUCUUUUUUUUUUUCCCCCUUGUGACAUGCUUCGGAAGUUCCCCAGCCAGGGAUGAGCCACAGCAGUGACAACACCCAAUCCUUAACCCACCAGGCCACUAGGGAAUUCCACUCCGAUUGGACCCCUAGCCUGGGAACCUCCAUAUGCCGCGGGAGCGGCCCAAGAAAUGGCAAAAAGACAGAAAAAAAAAAAUCACAACUAGGUUUAACCAUCACUUUUAGGAAAGCACUCCCAGAUUCUCUUCUUUAUGACUGAAUGAAUAGGUCAUUCAAAAUUCUGUAGUUCCAGUUGUGGCUCAGCAAUAACAAACCCAACUAGUAUCUAUCAGGACUCGGGCUCGAUUUCUGGCCUUGCUCAGUGGGUUAAGGAUCCGGCAUUACCAUGAGCUGUGGUGUAGGUUGCAGACUCGGAUCCCGAGUUGCUGUGGUUGUGACUGUGGCCAGCAGCUACAGUUCCAAUUCAACCCCUAGCCUGGGAACUUCCAUAUGGCACAGGCGCAACCCUCAACAAGCAAAAAAAAAAAAGCAAAACCUCCAAAAUUAGGUAGUCCCAAAUUCAAGAGGUUACCCAUCUUCUCCGAGUUUUUGUUGUUGUUUUGUUGGGGAGGUUUUGUUAUUGUUUUUGCUUGCGCCCAUGGUAUGCAAAAGUUCCUGGGCCAGGGAUUGAACCUGUGCCAUUGCAGGGACCUGAGCCACAGCGGCAGCAACGGGGGACCCUUGACUCAAUGCGUUACAGGGCAACUUCCCCAAAACAUUCUUAUACAAGUCACUAAGUGCACAAAUGCCUGCAUUUCUGUGGGUAUAUGUACAAGAGUGAAAUUGCUAGAUCACAGGGUACAAUACCUUCAACUUUAGUAGUUAGUGUCAAACUGUCUUCUCCCAAUUUACAUUUGAGAUUUCACAUUAUACCAUAUUCUCAAUAACCUCCAGUGCUGUCGGGAGUCCCCAUCACAGCUCAGUGGAAAUAAAUCCGACUAGUAUCCCUGAAGAUGUAGGUUCGAUCCCUGGCCUCACUCAGUGGGUUAAGGAUCUGGUGUUGCCAUAAGCUGUGGUGUAGGUCCCAGAUGCGGCUUGGAUCCUGGGUUGCUGUGGCUGUGGCUGUGGCCAGCAGCUGUAGCUCUGAUUUGACCCCUAGACUGGGAACUUCCAUAUGGGUGCGGCCCU
This 1911-nucleotide long non-coding RNA is filed under the name Sus scrofa (pig). RNAcentral describes it as "lncRNA (ENSSSCG00025005396.1)". Lineage: Eukaryota; Metazoa; Chordata; Mammalia; Artiodactyla; Suidae. The record is from RNAcentral.